RNAcentral lists this ribosomal RNA (443 nucleotides) under uncultured Saccharofermentans sp. RNAcentral describes it as "bacterial SSU rRNA". It matches the Rfam family "Bacterial small subunit ribosomal RNA", at positions 338 to 795 of the family's 1533-position model. The record is from RNAcentral. Lineage: Bacteria; Bacillati; Bacillota; Clostridia; Eubacteriales; Oscillospiraceae.
CCUACGGGAGGCUGCAGUGGGGAAUAUUGGGCAAUGGGCGAAAGCCUGACCCAGCAACGCCGCGUGAAGGAUGAAGGCUUUCGGGUUGUAAACUUCUUUGAUCAGGGACGAAAAAAAUGACGGUACCUGAAGAACAAGCCACGGCUAACUACGUGCCAGCAGCCGCGGUAAUACGUAGGUGGCAAGCGUUAUCCGGAUUUACUGGGUGUAAAGGGCGUGUAGGCGGGCUGACAAGUCGGAUGUUUAAUUCCCGGGCUUAACCCGGGCGGGUCAUCCGAAACUGUCGGUCUUGAGUACUGGAGAGGAUAGUGGAAUUCCUAGUGUAGCGGUAAAAUGCGUAGAUAUUAGGAGGAACACCAGUGGCGAAGGCGGCUAUCUGGACAGUAACUGACGCUGAGGCGCGAAAGCGUGGGGAGCAAACAGGAUUAGAUACCCCUGUAGUC